AAAAAAUUUCAGACUUGUUCAACAAUAAAGGAAGAACAACAAGAACACUAGUGCAUGAAUUAAAUCAAAUUACGAAAAAAUAACAUAAGAAUACAAAUUUUGUCUCAGAUCCAGCAACAAAAAUACCCAAAAAUACAGAGUUGGUCACACAGACAUAAAAAAAAAUUAUGAAAAAAGAACAUAAGAAUACAAAUUCCCCCCUCCGUCAGCCUCACCCAAGACAACCUCUAGAAAAUCGCCGCCUACAAAGUUAUGUUUGGUCCUCGGCCUCGGCACCGACUCUCUCCCUUUGCCAUCGAAAGGAUUAAAACGAAAUAAAAAAAAAAAAAAAAAGAUCUGAUCACCCCAUCGCAAGGUUGCAGAAGUUCUUUUUCUUAAUCAGUUGCAGCAGAAGUUGUUUUAGGAGGCUGGUGUGUUGUGAAGCUUAGAAAUUUUGGGAAGGAGAAUCCUUAUGGAAGAGGGUAAUUUCGGGUUUUAAUAAAGAACAUAAAAGUUAUUGUAAAUCUGUAUUAAAU
RNAcentral lists this long non-coding RNA (515 nucleotides) under Glycine max (soybean). RNAcentral describes it as "long non-coding RNA (GMAX_LNC000813)". Lineage: Eukaryota; Viridiplantae; Streptophyta; Magnoliopsida; Fabales; Fabaceae. The record is from RNAcentral.